Molecule: ribosomal RNA, 416 nt
Filed under: uncultured bacterium
Lineage: Bacteria
Description: bacterial SSU rRNA
Rfam family: Bacterial small subunit ribosomal RNA
Source: RNAcentral
UCUUGCGCAAUGGCCGAAAGGCUGACGCAGCGACGCCGCGUGCGGGAGGACGCUUUUCGGAGCGUAAACCGCUGUCGGGUGGGACGAAGGUCCGGGGGAGGAAAUGCUCUCGGGAUGACGGUACCAUAUGUAAGCCCCGGCUAACUCCGUGCCAGCAGCCGCGAUAAUACGGGGGGGCAAGCGUUGUUCGGAAUUACUGGGCGUAAAGCGCGUGUAGGCGGCUCUUCAAGUCAGACGUGAAAGCCUCAGGCUCAACCUGAGAACGGCGUUUGAUACUGUCGAGCUAGAGUGUGGAAGAGGCUAUUGGAAUUCCGUGUGUAGCGGUGAAAUGCGUAGAUAUACGGAGGAACACCAGCGGCGAAGGCGGAUAGCUGGACCAACACUGACGCUGAGACGCGAAAGCUAGGGGAGCAAAC